RNAcentral lists this ribosomal RNA (253 nucleotides) under uncultured bacterium. RNAcentral's name for it is "partial 16S ribosomal RNA". It matches the Rfam family "Bacterial small subunit ribosomal RNA", at positions 524 to 776 of the family's 1533-position model. The record is from RNAcentral.
UACGUAGGGGGCUAGCGUUGUCCGGAAUCAUUGGGCGUAAAGCGCGCGUAGGCGGCCCGGUAAGUCCGCUGUGAAAGUCCAGGGCUCAACCCUGGAAAGCCGGUGGAUACUGCCGGGCUAGAGUCCGGGAGAGGCGAGUGGAAUUCCUGGUGUAGCGGUGGAAUGCGCAGAUAUCAGGAGGAACACCUAUUGCGAAGGCAGCUCGCUGGGACGUAACUGACGCUGAGACGCGAAAGCGUGGGGAGCAAACAGG